CAGUCGCCGCGGGAAUACGAAGGGUGCAAGCGUUAAUCGGAAUUACUGGGCGUAAAGCGUGCGUAGGCGGUGGGUUAAGUCUGCUGUGAAAUCCCCGGGCUCAACCUGGGAAUGGCAGUGGAUACUGGCUCGCUAGAGUGUGUCAGAGGAUGGUGGAAUUCCCGGUGUAGCGGUGAAAUGCGUAGAGAUCGGGAGGAACAUCAGUGGCGAAGGCGGCCAUCUGGGACAACACUGACGCUGAGGCACGAAAGCGUGGGGAGCAAACAGGAUUAGAUACCCCCGUAGUCCCUGUCUCUUAUAC
RNAcentral lists this ribosomal RNA (301 nucleotides) under uncultured bacterium. RNAcentral's name for it is "partial 16S ribosomal RNA". It matches the Rfam family "Bacterial small subunit ribosomal RNA", at positions 509 to 807 of the family's 1533-position model. The record is from RNAcentral.